CUUACCAACUGAAGCUCCAACUCUCCACUAUAAAAGAGAUCAAUAGAGGACGCCUAAAGAAGGUACUUAAUUACUCUAUCUCUCACACUCUUCUUUCUAUUGGAUGAGAUCUUGACUUGAGCAUCAAAGGAUCCUAGCCGAAGCCACCUCUGAUUUGGACUUUUUUGCAGGUUGUGCACCUAGGAGGCCCAUCUUGUCAUCUACUCCAGUGUUUUGACACCAGACGGUUUCUCACACCAAUAGAUGGGCACUAUAGAAAGGGCUUUUUGAUCCAUUUUUGGAGG
RNAcentral lists this long non-coding RNA (284 nucleotides) under Elaeis guineensis (African oil palm). RNAcentral describes it as "long non-coding RNA (EGUI_LNC032158)". The record is from RNAcentral. Lineage: Eukaryota; Viridiplantae; Streptophyta; Magnoliopsida; Arecales; Arecaceae.